CAGCCGCCGCGGGAAUACGGAGGGGGCUAGCGUUGUUCGGAAUUACUGGGCGUAAAGCGCACGUAGGCGGCUUUACAAGUCAGAGGUGAAAGCCCGGGGCUCAACUCCGGAACUGCCUUUGAGACUGGGUAUCUUGAGUAUGGAAGAGGUGAAUGGAAUUCCGAGUGUAGAGGUGAAAUUCGUAGAUAUUCGGAGGAACACCAGUGGCGAAGGCGGCUCACUGGUCCAUUACUGACGCUGAGGUGCGAAAGCGUGGGGAGCAAACAGGAUUAGAUACCCCAGUAGUCCCUGUCUCUUAUAC
RNAcentral lists this ribosomal RNA (301 nucleotides) under uncultured bacterium. RNAcentral describes it as "partial 16S ribosomal RNA". It matches the Rfam family "Bacterial small subunit ribosomal RNA", at positions 509 to 807 of the family's 1533-position model. The record is from RNAcentral.